GCCGGGGUGGCAGAGUGGUAAAACUGGUCCACACAUGCGCUGGCCUCGAGAGCCAGUGGCUCUUACGGGCCUCAUGGGUUCAAAUCCCAUCCCCGGCGCCA
Molecule: transfer RNA, 101 nt
Filed under: Candidatus Bathyarchaeota archaeon
Lineage: Archaea; Thermoproteati; Candidatus Bathyarchaeota
Also listed under: 1 other name
Description: tRNA-Ser
Rfam family: tRNA
About the family: Transfer RNA (tRNA) molecules are approximately 80 nucleotides in length.
Source: RNAcentral